UACGUAGGGUGCAAGCGUUGUCCGGAAUUAUUGGGCGUAAAGAGCUCGUAGGCGGUUUGUUGCGUCGGCUGUGAAAUCCCGAGGCUCAACCUCGGGUCUGCAGUCGAUACGAGCAAACUAGAGUGUUGCAGGGGAGACUGGAAUUCCUGGUGUAGCGGUGAAAUGCGCAGAUAUCAGGAGGAACACCGGUGGCGAAGGCGGGUCUCUGGGCAACAACUGACGCUGAGGAGCGUAAGCGUGGGGAGCGAACAGG
Molecule: ribosomal RNA, 253 nt
Filed under: uncultured bacterium
Lineage: Bacteria
Description: partial 16S ribosomal RNA
Rfam family: Bacterial small subunit ribosomal RNA
Source: RNAcentral